AUUGAACGCUGGCGGCAUGCCUUACACAUGCAAGUCGAACGGUAACGGGCCUUCGGGUGCCGACGAGUGGCGAACGGGUGAGUAAUACAUCGGAACGUGCCCGAUCGUGGGGAUAACGAGGCGAAAGCUUUGCUAAUACCGCAUACGAUCUACGGAUGAAAGCAGGGGACCGCAAGGCCUUGCGCGGACGGAGCGGCCGAUGGCAGAUUAGGUAGUUGGUGGGAUAAAAGCUUACCAAGCCGACGAUCUGUAGCUGGUCUGAGAGGAUGAUCAGCCACACUGGGACUGAGACACGGCCCAGACUCCUACGGGAGGCAGCAGUGGGGAAUUUUGGACAAUGGGCGCAAGCCUGAUCCAGCCAUGCCGCGUGCAGGAUGAAGGCCUUCGGGUUGUAAACUGCUUUUGUACGGAACGAAAAGCCUUCUUUUAAUACAGGAGGGUCAUGACGGUACCGUAAGAAUAAGCACCGGCUAACUACGUG
Molecule: ribosomal RNA, 481 nt
Filed under: uncultured bacterium
Lineage: Bacteria
Description: partial 16S ribosomal RNA
Rfam family: Bacterial small subunit ribosomal RNA
Source: RNAcentral